This 232-nucleotide ribosomal RNA is filed under the name uncultured bacterium. Its description in RNAcentral is "partial 16S ribosomal RNA". It matches the Rfam family "Bacterial small subunit ribosomal RNA", at positions 923 to 1163 of the family's 1533-position model. The record is from RNAcentral.
GCACAAGCAGUGGAGUAUGUGGUUUAAUUCGACGCAACGCGAAGAACCUUACCAAGUCUUGACAUCCUGCGACGACGCUGGAAACAGUAUUUUCCUUCGGGACGCAGAGACAGGUGGUGCAUGGUUGUCGUCAGCUCGUGUCGUGAGAUGUUGGGUUAAGUCCCGCAACGAGCGCAACCCUUACUAUUAGUUGCUACGCAAGAGCACUCUAAUAGGACUGCCGUUGACAAAA